Molecule: ribosomal RNA, 774 nt
Filed under: uncultured Neocallimastigales
Lineage: Eukaryota; Fungi; Neocallimastigomycota; Neocallimastigomycetes; Neocallimastigales
Description: partial large subunit ribosomal RNA
Rfam family: Eukaryotic large subunit ribosomal RNA
Source: RNAcentral
CGCAUCUGUGCAUGCAGCAUAUCAAUAAGCGGAGGAAAAGAAACUAACAAGGAUUCCCCUAGUAACGGCGAGUGAAGCGGGAAGAGCUCAAAUUUGAAAUCUUAAAGGGUUUCCCUUUACGAAUUGUAGUUUAAAGAAGUGUUUUCUGUUGAGGUUUUGGUAAAAGUUCUUUGGAAUAGGACAUCAUAGAGGGUGAGAAUCCCGUAUUUGACCUUUACUUUCAACUUUGUGAUACACUUUCAAAGAGUCGGAUUGUUUGGGAAUGCAGUCCAAAAUGGGUGGUAAAUUUCAUCUAAAGCUAAAUAUUGGCGAGAGACCGAUAGCGAACAAGUACCGUGAGGGAAAGAUGAAAAGAACUUUGAAAAGAGAGUUAAACAGUACGUGAAAUUGUCAAAAGGGAAGCGUUUGACACCAGUGUUGUUUUUCUGAAAAUCAAUUAAAGAACUGUUUAUGCUAAGCUGUUUAGACUUUAUCAGCUAUCUGUUUAGUUUUGAGCUUUUCUUUAAUGCACUUUUCAGUUAGCAAGUCAACAUCAAUUUCUUUUGCUGUAAAAAAGCUUGAGGAAGGUGGCUUGAGAUUCGUCUUAAGUGUUUAUAGCCUCUUGCCUAUGCAGUCGGAGAGAUUGAGGUCUGCAGCGUAGAUCCUUCGGGGCUAAAUGCAUUUGUGCUAAGUUAUAGCAUUUUAUAGACAACUUGUUGACUAUGAUUUGUCUUGUAGCUUACUCGCUUAUGUUAUUUUACCUACGCUUAGGAUGUUGAACGCGCACAGAGUCUC